This 250-nucleotide long non-coding RNA is filed under the name Homo sapiens (human). RNAcentral describes it as "non-protein coding lnc-RASA3-7:2". The record is from RNAcentral. Lineage: Eukaryota; Metazoa; Chordata; Mammalia; Primates; Hominidae.
GCUUGCUCAAGCCCCUCUCACUCUGUGGAGUAUACUUUCACUUCAAUACACCUAUGCUUUCAUGUUCCAUUGCUUUGUUUUGUUCAAUCUUUGUUCACCAUGCCAAGAACCUGGACAACUUGUAGUGAAGACCUUCCACACCAGUAACAUAUUUUGGUGAGCCAGUCGGGAGAGACUGUUUUGUUCAUCUACUAAUGUGAUCUAAGGGGACAGUCAUGAACAGAAAGACUGCGAGUUCCCAAAGGGGCUA